GUGAGGAAUAUUGGUCAAUGGGCGAGAGCCUGAACCAGCCAAGUAGCGUGCAGGACGACGGCCCUAUGGGUUGUAAACUGCUUUUGUACGGGGAUAAAGUGAGAGACGUGUCUUUCAUUGCAGGUACCGUACGAAUAAGGACCGGCUAAUUCCGUGCCAGCAGCCGCGGUAAUACGGAAGGUCCAGGCGUUAUCCGGAUUUAUUGGGUUUAAAGGGAGCGUAGGCCGCCCGUCAAGCGUGUUGUGAAAUGUAGAUGCUCAACAUCUGAAUUGCAGCGCGAACUGUCGGGCUUGAGUGCGCACAACGCAGGCGGAAUUCGUGGUGUAGCGGUGAAAUGCUUAGAUAUCACGAAGAACCCCGAUUGCGAAGGCAGCUUGCGGGAGCGCUACUGACGCUGAAGCUCGAAAGUGCGGGUAUCGAACAGGAUUAGAAACCCCGGUAGUCC
Molecule: ribosomal RNA, 445 nt
Filed under: uncultured bacterium
Lineage: Bacteria
Description: partial 16S ribosomal RNA
Rfam family: Bacterial small subunit ribosomal RNA
Source: RNAcentral